Long non-coding RNA from Bactrocera neohumeralis, 1744 nucleotides. RefSeq lists it as uncharacterized. The transcript is spliced from 2 exons. Lineage: Eukaryota; Metazoa; Arthropoda; Insecta; Diptera; Tephritidae. The record is from RefSeq and is a predicted model, not a curated record.
GUAAAAAUAAAUAGUAAUAAUAAAAUAAAAGUAAAUAAAAAAUUGUUAAAAAUUAUAUAAUUUUUGGCCCUCCGAACUUCCAUUUUCCACACAAUCGAAGAACUGUAAUGUCAUUGUACAGAGAAAUACAUACAUAUAUUCAAAAUAAGCAAAAAAUAUCAAAACGCUUGUACUUAGUUGUCGCUAAAAUGACGUCACUAAAGUUAUUUUGCUGAGCUAACGCUAAGAUGACAUCACAAUUUUCGUAUUAUAAUUUUUCAAAAAUAUUGUUUUUUACAAAGGUGAACGAAAAUAAUUAGAAAUUAUAAAAUCAUCAAAUUGAAAAAAAAUAAAAAUAUAUUUUCUUUUGAUGUUUGCCGUCUUCACAGUUUUUAUUUGGCACAAUUUAUAGUAUUUUAUAUACAUUUAUAUUAUAUUUCUGCCUCAGUGUGAAAAUGCAUUGUGUGGUUAUUUCGAUCCUUAAAAAGCACCAAAUUGUAUUAAGACAAAUCACUGCAAUUCAAAGCCCAAUGAACCAAAAUUAAACAUGCACACAUGCACACACACCUAAUUACUUAAUCAAACGCUAAUUAUGACAAUUGAUUAUAAUUUCGCCAGUUUUUAAUAGCAUGCUGGAUGAAUGGCACUUAAUGAGGCCCCAACUCGCCUCAAAUUCGCCUCAUUUUGCGAUUUUUUCCUAAGGCAAUUAAACGCCAUUUAAUUGUGCAAAGACAAGGUCGGUCCUAAGCAAUCAGCUGCGUAUUUAAAGUGGAACGCGGCUUCCGAAAAUCCGCAAACAUAAUAAGCCGAUUAAUAACACGACCGAAACGAGCGGCGUGGAGUUCACAGUCAAGUGGCUCUCGGCUGAGAAACAAGUGCAAUUCAGCGGCGUGCGAAUGCGUGCGCACAACUCAACCUACAUCACAUACAUACAUACAUAUUUAGUUGUGUUUGUAUAAGUGCAAGUGAUAUGAUAUAUUGUGUGCGCCUGCAGUCAGCGCCCGACCACAAUCCAGUUCAACCGCAAAUUUUCAACAGCUUUUUUUCUGAAAGCAACAAGCAAACGCCCAGCGCUGCGUGCAAUUAAAUGUGGAAUUCGCAUAAAAUAAAAAAAAAAAUAAUAAUAAUAUAGCAAACAUACGUACAACAGCUGUUGCUAAAAUUUAUGUCAUUUGCUAUUGUUGUUGUGGUUGCUAGACCAGCACAAACCGCCGCGCAUGCCAGUUGCUAUUUCCGCGCUGGCAUUUGCGUAAGUGUGUGUAUGUGUGUGUAGGUUGUGUCUCCCUCCGGCUGCAUUUAUUUACACUGUUUUAUGAUCGUUUCUUGUCGGUCUAUGAAGUCGGAAUAUAAAGUAACUAAUUCGCUGUCAAUAUCACUGCAAUUUAUGACUUAGAAGCAAAUCACAUUAGCAAAUAUAAAUAUUAAGCGAGACGAAAGCGCUGCUCCCUCGAGCGAACGUGCGAAAAUAGCUAAUAAUAUUUAAGUUCGAAUUCCCAAAUCCCCGAAAACGGUUGAGUCAGAGCGAUACAAAUGUUAAUACAUACAUAUGUAUCUGCAUACAUAUAUACAAAUUUGCGUGUGUUUGUUUUUGCUGUUUCAUAGACAGGUUGACAUUGUAUGUACAUAUACAUAUGUAUGUAUGUAUGUGUGUAAUUUAAGUUAAUUUGCAGUACAAAGAAACGGUUCCUGUCAUUAAAGAUUUGUAGAAGUGAGUUUGAGUGGCUGGACUUCGUAUACUAUACAUACAUACCUACAUCCGGCAAAU